Molecule: unclassified non-coding RNA, 157 nt
Filed under: uncultured Sordariales
Lineage: Eukaryota; Fungi; Ascomycota; Sordariomycetes; Sordariales
Description: sequence contains ITS1
Source: RNAcentral
CUGAGUUACACAACUCCAAACCCUUUGUGAACAUUAACUUUUUGUUGCUUCGGCAGGCGGCGCCAGGGGGAGCCUUUGCUGGGUUUUUUCAGUGCCUGCCGAAAGACUAAACUCUUUGCAAUAUGUCUGUUUUCUGAAUAAAAUACAAAAUAGCUAA